UACGUAGGGGGCAAGCGUUGUCCGGAAUCAUUGGGCGUAAAGCGCGUGUAGGCGGUUCGAUAAGUCUGCUGUGAAAGUCCAGGGCUCAACCCUGGGAUGCCGGUGGAUACUGUCGGGCUAGAGUGCGGAAGAGGCGAGUGGAAUUCCCGGUGUAGCGGUGAAAUGCGCAGAUAUCGGGAGGAACACCAAUUGCGAAGGCAGCUCGCUGGGACGUUACUGACGCUGAGACGCGAAAGCGUGGGGAGCAAACAGG
RNAcentral lists this ribosomal RNA (253 nucleotides) under uncultured bacterium. RNAcentral describes it as "partial 16S ribosomal RNA". It matches the Rfam family "Bacterial small subunit ribosomal RNA", at positions 524 to 776 of the family's 1533-position model. The record is from RNAcentral.